Molecule: long non-coding RNA, 600 nt
Filed under: Homo sapiens (human)
Lineage: Eukaryota; Metazoa; Chordata; Mammalia; Primates; Hominidae
Description: non-protein coding lnc-PIGF-3:1
Source: RNAcentral
ACCCAGCGGCGGCGGGAGGAGGGGAGUGCGUUUUCAUCACCCCAAGUUGGCCAAGCUCCGUGCCAGGUUUCAUCUUACUUCAUUCUGAUUAUCGACAUCUCACUGCCGAGGAAACAGACUUGCAGACACCGAUGAGAAAACUUAGGAGCCAGCUGGGGAGGGAGGACUGGCCCAAAGUCACAGUCAACAGGAGGAAGCGGCGCGCGCCUAGCUACGCAAAACCGCAGGAUGGAAAAACGCAGAGCAGAACGCACCCUGACCUGGCAGAGCAUCUGUAGUGGAGAGAAUGGGAUUUUAGAGGAACGCUGAAAAUAAAACAAGAAAACAAAAGACCAGAGGAAAGUAUUGCUAGGGUGAAGAGGGAGCGCCUUGGCUCCUUUGCCACCAACCCAGCCCCAGUGAGAGUUUACCCCCUAACUUUGAGGGUGCCCUCCCAUCCCCAGAGCCCUUGGUUUUACGUCUAAGUACACUCCCCUUGCAGGGAAGCGCCAGCUCCGUGACCCUGGUUCUCUAAACAUUUUCCUUGCAGACUCCUAAAAGAAUUUUGAAAAUCUGUGUACCCCUUGCACAUUUUUAGGUGCAAACAUUUAAAUUGUUUUC